GGAAGAAUUUGUAACGGCACAGCGCAUGUAUGAGUAGUGUAUCCGUAAAAACCACUGCUCAAGGACUUCAUGCCUAUUGUUCUUCACGUCACAAUAUGGUGAUUUAACGCAGUCAGACAAUCCAAUCAUGUUUAACUACAUUGGCGUCUCUGUUCAUGCUGACAGGUGUAUUCAGAAAUAGAAUAUGGCAGAUUUAGCGCAUAUCUGUUUAAAACGCAGGCUUAGUCCACGAAAGCGACAGAUCCUGGUCUACUGUAAGCUUGUUACGCAGAACCUGGG
Molecule: non-coding RNA, 279 nt
Organism: Pelobates cultripes (western spadefoot toad)
Lineage: Eukaryota; Metazoa; Chordata; Amphibia; Anura; Pelobatidae
Source: the annotation of a GenBank genome assembly